Molecule: ribosomal RNA, 443 nt
Filed under: uncultured bacterium
Lineage: Bacteria
Description: partial 16S ribosomal RNA
Rfam family: Bacterial small subunit ribosomal RNA
Source: RNAcentral
CCUACGGGGGGCAGCAGUGGGGAAUAUUGCGCAAUGGGCGAAAGCCUGAUGCAGCAACGCCGCGUGAAGGAAGAAGGUUUUCGGCUCGUAAACUUCUAUCAACAGGGACGAAAAAAAUGACGGUACCUGAAUAAGCAACCCCUACUAACUACGUGCCAGCAGCCGCGGUAAGACGUAGGGGGGCAGCGUUAUCCGGAAUUACUGGGUGGAAAGGGUGAGUAGGCGGCAUGGUAAGCCAGAUGUGAAAGACUUGGGCUUAACCCGAUGCUUGCAUUUGGAACUAUCAAGCUAGAGUACAGGAGAGGAAAGCGGAAUUCCUAGUGUAGCGGUGAAAUGCGUAGAUAUUAGGAAGAACACCAGUGGCGAAGGCGGCUUUCUGGACUGAAACUGACGCUGAGGCACGAAAGCGUGGGGAGCGAACAGGAUUAGAUACCCGUGUAGUC